This 448-nucleotide long non-coding RNA is filed under the name Dromaius novaehollandiae (emu). Its description in RNAcentral is "lncRNA (ENSDNVG00000000242.1)". Lineage: Eukaryota; Metazoa; Chordata; Aves; Casuariiformes; Dromaiidae. The record is from RNAcentral.
GUUUCACUUGGUUGUUGCUUUUGACUAGCACCUUAUUACUGUGAAUGCUUCUUUACAGAUCCUGGAAAAGAGAAAGAACUUAAAUCUCCAGCUGCCACAAAAGACAAAGAGCACACUAAAGAAAGAGAGGGAAAGAAUUCUACAGCUUUAAAAGAUAGAGAGUCUCCAAAAGGAAACAAUCCCAAGAAUCCAGAGGGAAGAAAGGAGAAAGAGCCUGGUAAAAGAAAAGAUGUGAAGCCUCCAGCAGUCUUAAAGGAAAAGGAGUCUUCAAAAGGAAAAGAACUGAAGACUUCAACUUUCAUUAAGGAAAAAGCUGUGGUGAAAAAAGAAGAGGAGAAGAAAGCUAUUGUAGAGAAACAUCAUGAACACAAGCAUGAAGCUGUCAAACAUGAAAAAGGUGUUCCACCAACAAAACCAGGUAGACAUCCAGAAUUUUUUGCAUUUAUUA